AAAGAAGUAUUCUACCUAGGCCUGUCGCGAUAAUCAAUAAAUCGCCUUAUCGCUCGGUAAAUAAAAACGAGGUCGGUCAUUUUGCCAGCCUCGAUAAUUGACGUGCGUUUGUUUUCCUCCUCUCUCGCUACCAAACACGCUGGAUGAGAGAAGAGGUCUCACUCUGCGCAUUUUUCUCGGCACCUGGGGGCGUUGGCUCUAUAGCGGAAUGAACGGAGUUAGUGAACCCUCCUGUCAGUCAUUCAGUCUCUUUGUCACGAGGGGACUGGCGCGCACAGGUACACGUAGGCGCGCACAGGCACACAGACGCAGACUUUUGGAUACAGUGCUGCAAGUGAGCGUCGUGAGUGAAAAGCAAGCAAACAGAAUGAACACGAC
This 378-nucleotide long non-coding RNA is filed under the name Xyrichtys novacula (pearly razorfish). The record is from RNAcentral. Lineage: Eukaryota; Metazoa; Chordata; Actinopteri; Labriformes; Labridae.